UUUACAACCUACCAUUAGAGUUAAAUUUAAUUACAACUCAUGCCAUCAACUCUCUCUUCCCCGAUCCAUUUUAGAAUAACCCCUCUCGCUCUCUCUCAAAUCCACCGGAAAUCGAGUCACCAUCCACCAUCGCAGACGACGAUCGAUGAUGACGACGAGGAUGAUGAACUCGGUUUUCGAUUCUCUAGUCAGCCGCCUCAUGCAGGUACCGUCUUCUUACUCCAGCAAUGGCACCAAUCGGCGGGAGCGGUCUUCUGGCGAUUUUGACGACUCGGCCUACUAGAUCUCCGUCUCCGGCGGUAAUUUCAAAACCUAUUUUAAAUUACGAUGCCAUUUUUGAAUCUCAUAUUUUGAUGACGACAACGAUGAUGGUUGGGAAUUCAAAGCUGCAGAACUAGAGAACCAGGUUGGCAAUGAGAAUUCCAAGGUAUCAUCCAGACAAGAAUACAAGCAAUCCGGAAGCAACAGAACAGUUCGAGGAGGUUGCAUUUUUGUAUGGCAUCUUAUCUGACCCAGAAAAGAUGAGGCAUUAUGACAAUGCUGGGUUUGGGGUGAUUUCUUCUUAAGUUCACUCUCGCUGUGUUUUAUUUUUAUAGCCGAGUUUUUAUGUGUCUGCUUGAAUGUAAGAUGAAUUGUUGAAUAAAUUUCUUGAUAAUAGUUCAUAUGCAUAGCAUGAACAGUGAUGUCAUUACAUA
This is a long non-coding RNA of Rosa rugosa (rugosa rose), 695 nucleotides long. RefSeq lists it as uncharacterized. The transcript has 2 exons. The record is from RefSeq and is a predicted model, not a curated record. NCBI's taxonomy places the organism in Eukaryota, Viridiplantae, Streptophyta, Magnoliopsida, Rosales, Rosaceae.